CUGCAGCCAAUUAAGCCUACUGAGUUCCUUUCCUCCUUGGGGCCUGGUAUGAAUAGCUGCAAACAGCAGCUUCCUUGGUAGUGUAUGCAGCCUGUUUCUUGUAUGGGUUGCUCUAGGGGACCUUGGAGACAGGC
This 134-nucleotide small nucleolar RNA is filed under the name Colobus angolensis palliatus. RNAcentral describes it as "Small nucleolar RNA SNORA70 (ENSCANG00000006625.1)". It matches the Rfam family "Small nucleolar RNA SNORA70". Rfam says of the family: snoRNA U70 seems to be exclusive to mammals and is a member of the H/ACA class of snoRNA which contain H (ANANNA) and ACA box motifs. Lineage: Eukaryota; Metazoa; Chordata; Mammalia; Primates; Cercopithecidae. The record is from Rfam by way of RNAcentral.